GAUGAACGCUGACAGAAUGCUUAACACAUGCAAGUCAACUUGAACUUCGGUUUGGGUGGCGGACGGGCGAGUAACGCGUAAAGAACUUGCCUCACAGAUAGGGACAACAUUUGGAAACGAAUGCUAAUACCUGAUAUUAUGAUUUUAGGGCAUCCUAGGAUUAUGAAAGCUAUAUGCGCUGUGAGAGAGCUUUGCGUCCCAUUAGCUAGUUGGAGAGGUAACGGCUCACCAAGGCGAUGAUGGGUAGCCGGCCUGAGAGGGUGAUCGGCCACAAGGGGACUGAGACACGGCCCUUACUCCUACGGGAGGCAGCAGUGGGGAAUAUUGGACAAUGGACCAAGAGUCUGAUCCAGCAAUUCUGUGUGCACGAUGAAGUUUUUCGGAAUGUAAAGUGCUUUCAGUUGGGAAGAAAAAAAUGACGGUACCAACAGAAGAAGUGACGGCUAAAUACGUGCCAGCAGCCGCGGUAAUACGUAUGUCACAAGCGUUAUCCGGAUUUAUUGGGCGUAAAGCGCGUCUAGGUGGUUAUAUAAGUCUGAUGUGAAAAUGCAGGGCUCAACUCUGUAUUGCGUUGGAAACUGUGUAACUAGAGUACUGGAGAGGUAAGCGGAACUACAAGUGUAGAGGUGAAAUUCGUAGAUAUUUGUAGGAAUGCCGAUGGGGAAGCCAGCUUACUGGACAGAUACUGACGCUGAAGCGCGAAAGCGUGGGUAGCAAACAGG
This 722-nucleotide ribosomal RNA is filed under the name uncultured Fusobacterium sp. RNAcentral's name for it is "bacterial SSU rRNA". It matches the Rfam family "Bacterial small subunit ribosomal RNA", at positions 28 to 776 of the family's 1533-position model. Lineage: Bacteria; Fusobacteriati; Fusobacteriota; Fusobacteriia; Fusobacteriales; Fusobacteriaceae. The record is from RNAcentral.